GAUGGGGUAGCAGAAGGACGGGUGGUCGGCGAGGGUCGGUUAGCGGGGUGGCGCGUGGAGGAACGCCGACACGGCGGCCGCUACACGCCGCGAGGCCCGGUGUGCGGCGAUCGGAGGUCAUUUUUUUUGUGGGGUCUUUUAUCAGCAAACCAUAUAAGAUAUAAGUGUCCUGCCGCCUGAACCGCUGCCCCUGCCGCGCCCUUGAGCGGUCGGUCCUCCGAGGGCCGCCUCGAACCGCAGAGGGACAUCUUCCUUCGCCGACGCCGCCGCCAGCCUCUCCACCAAGUCUCGAGCCCGCAGGUACCGCAACCCCGAGGGUAUCUCUUCUUUGCUCCCUCCCUGUACUCGUCUCUCUCCUUUUUGUCUUCCUCCUCCCCCUAUCCUUCCCCUCUCGUUCUCUUCUUUUCUCGUCUCUCUUCCCGGCCGCGAGUAGACGACCGAGGCCGCUCGACGCCGACCCCAGGUAACCUCCUCGCCGAGCUACUGCUCCUCUACUCCGCGCCGCGUGCUCCCUUCCUCCUCCCCUAGCUGGGUUCCGCCCUCGACAACUGCGUGGUCGCGUCCCCAGUGGUAGAUAGAAGCAGUCCAUUCGCGUCCGUAAGCAGAGAGACAGCAGCAACGCCACGAACCCAGCAAGAGGUCAAAGACAGGUGUCAGUAGUGGUUCGAGCACGGCGCGGUUACGAUGACCCAGGACCUAACUAAGUCCAGCAAGACGCUUGUGACUGCUCCUCGUACAAUACACCACUGGAGGCAAGAGAUUGCACCUCUAUGUAUCUACCGCUUGUACCAAGGUCCCAGUACUACCAACAAAAUGUGAGUAUUUCAAAAGGCCAAAAGGGACUGCACAAGUACUGUAGAGGCGGGCCGGUAGAAGUUCUAGUUGUGCUUUGACGUUCUGAAGGUGUCCGGACUACGAGGAGCUAGUGAUCGUUACGUACCGUGCUGGGCCUAAAUUAGAGGUUAAAACGCGAUGACACCAAUCAGCAAGAGUUGGAGGGGAAUUAGACUCUUGGAUGUUUGUGUCAGGAAACGUUAAAAGGUAGAAGAUUACGUCAUCGGUCUUCAUUCCUAGGGCCUUCGUUUUCCUACUAACCUCGUCCCAUUAUGUUAGAAAACAUACCUUUCCGUUUAUGCUAGAAGGAGAAGAGUGACGUAACUUCUAGAAGUUACGAAAAACAUACCAAAUCCCUCUCGUACACCUUCUUACGAUAAUAAUAUGUAUAACCGAUACUCCUGCUCCGCAAGUCAGAUUUUAUGCGCACCUACAUAGUGUAAAGAUAAGACCCGUCUAUUCAAGAGAUAUCUAUGGAACGAACGUCGAUUAAACCAAACAAGUUCAUACACUAUACAAGUAAGAUAAAAAAGGAGUAAGGGACGACGUCUUAUCGUAGUUAAUGAGUACUUUAGUAGAGGAUUUAAUUAAACGAAGAUCGUAAGAAUCAAAAGACUAGAUUCUUUUUAAAGAAAUACAAAACCAACACACUAAUUUAAAAUUGAAAACAACAGGUGUACAGGGCAAUAGUUUAGUAAAAGAAGAUUACCUAACAAGCGGAUAGACUACUUAAGCUGAUUGUAGUUCUAACUUCCCUGAAAAGUACCUGUACAAGAGGUUGGUUUAAACCUUAACUAACUAAGACGUCGGUUCGAUGUGUAUAUACCUCUGGCGAAGGUGACAUCCACGAAACCGCGACACAUAAACGAACAACAUCUACGAGACGAAGGUGACAAACGACGAAAGCGCACAUCGUUAACCCACCAAACAUCGACGACUACAUUAGGUUCUACUUCGUCCGAGUGUACACCUGUGACGAAGAGCGACCACCUUUUGUUAAUCGACGUCUUAAAUCGUUGUCUUCUGUGCGCGCACCGGAUGCCUCUCUUAUUGUGCGCGCCGUACCGGUUCCUUCUCUUUGCGCUCGCCGACAGCACCGAGAACCGCCUGUGCUUGCAGCGAAACGUGGUGGUCCCACCAGACGAACGUCAAGGAUGAGGUCCAAAUAACUAUUACGAUAAAAAAGUAAGAUUUGAGGCAAAUUUAAAGUCAAGUUUAAAUAUCAAAUUACGAGACAUCCCUCGUGUCUGUAACACGAUAUAUUAUUAGUAGAAACUACACACAUGACCUUGGUGGCCUAUUUUCAACAAGAAAGUAAACUUCCUAUCUAAAGCAAACUACCAAGUUGUAAUUUACAUCGACCAUGUUAGCCUAAAUCGUCUGUUUUACCCACUGGUUCGUACCACCACAACGUGAACGAACGGAACCGAUACUCCUCUUUAAUACAUUACUUCAAUCAUGAAAUAUUACAUGCGUCGGGUAACGGCACGA
This 2325-nucleotide ribosomal RNA is filed under the name Triticum aestivum (bread wheat). RNAcentral's name for it is "partial small subunit ribosomal RNA". Lineage: Eukaryota; Viridiplantae; Streptophyta; Magnoliopsida; Poales; Poaceae. The record is from RNAcentral.